This 1080-nucleotide long non-coding RNA is filed under the name Felis catus (domestic cat). Its description in RNAcentral is "lncRNA (ENSFCAG00000053664.1)". Lineage: Eukaryota; Metazoa; Chordata; Mammalia; Carnivora; Felidae. The record is from RNAcentral.
AUAGAGACUUUUAAACACCCUUAAAAUAAGACUAAAAAAAGCUUCAACUGUUUAUGCCAAAUUAUAUGAUUUUUUUUCUUUUGUUUGCAGCAGUUUGGGGGUGCCUGGAAUAGAAUUUGGGGGGAGGAAAAUCUCCCUGCCGCAUCCAACCGUGCUGGCAUUGCCACGUUUUACAACCAUGCAAACCUCGGGUCCUCAUCCAUAAAGCCAGCCCCGAGACCUCUGCCCCCGGGACUCCAUCCAGCUUGGCCCUCUGAGACUUCACACUCCUGCUGAACUUGGACAUCAGGCCAAGCCCCGCAGACCCACCAGGGUGAUUCACUUAAAAGGCGGCAGCAGCUCGCCUGAAGUCAGCGUUGUAGCCUGGAAAAGGCUGGAUGAGCCUUUGCUCACCACUGGACAUAAAAAAUAAUCUGCAUGUUCGAAAAGGAUGUGCUGAACUCGUGACCUGUAAUAAACGGUUACUGCUCAGUCUUUAAAACGCAGGUGCAGUGGUGUGUCUGUCUUCAAAACUGCCAAUCGGCAAACCCAAAUACAGCAGCAACAGCAAAAAAAAAAAAAAGAGAGACACAAAACCUUUAGAAACAUUCGUUCUAGCUUCUCAAAGCUCUACUCAAGUAGGUAUCAGUCUACAGGGUCUGUUUCUCCUUUUCCAACAGGGCAAAAACAAAACUUGCAAAGUCUAAAUACCUUAACACUGAAAACCUCUUGUUUCUAUGAUUAUAAUUAAGUCAAGCAUGGAUCAUUCCACAUUGAUGUUGCCAGUGGAAUCUUUAGAAAAACCUCAGAUGCGAACCAAUGCAAACCUGUGAGUUGGGGUUUGCCCCCCACCUGUAGUACCACACCCAGCCUGGAGGCACUGAGUUCUUCCGAGGAAAGUCUGGUCUCAUGUCACUGGGGGCCGUGUCAAGGAUGUUGACCCUGCCCCUCCUUUGGAAUCGCUCUGGCUAUUUCUACGACAGAAAAUGAUUCUCUCCCAAAGGACCACCAUUCACAGAUGCUAAUAGGGUAGCAUUGGUAGAGCUCUUUAAAAUAUAUGAUGUGCUUCUCGCGGUGCCUGGGUGGCUCAGUCUGUUAAGU